CCUACGGGAGGCAGCAGUGGGGAAUCUUCCGCAAUGGGCGCAAGCCUGACGGAGCAACGCCGCGUGAGUGAAGAAGGUUUUCGGAUCGUAAAGCUCUGUUGAGAGGGACGAGAGGCAAGGCUAGGAAAUGAGCUUUGUAGGACGGUACCUUUCGAGGAAGCCACGGCUAACUACGUGCCAGCAGCCGCGGUAAU
This 194-nucleotide ribosomal RNA is filed under the name uncultured bacterium. RNAcentral's name for it is "partial 16S ribosomal RNA". It matches the Rfam family "Bacterial small subunit ribosomal RNA", at positions 338 to 524 of the family's 1533-position model. The record is from RNAcentral.